UACGUAGGGGGCAAGCGUUGUCCGGAUUUAUUGGGCGUAAAGAGCGUGUAGGCGGCUUUGCAAGUCCGUUGUGAAAACUCGAGGCUCAACCUCGAGACGCCGGUGGAAACUGCAAAGCUAGAGUCCGGAAGAGGAGAGUGGAAUUCCUGGUGUAGCGGUGAAAUGCGCAGAUAUCAGGAAGAACACCCGUGGCGAAGGCGGCUCUCUGGGACGGUACUGACGCUGAGACGCGAAGGCGUGGGGAGCGAACAGG
RNAcentral lists this ribosomal RNA (253 nucleotides) under uncultured bacterium. RNAcentral's name for it is "partial 16S ribosomal RNA". It matches the Rfam family "Bacterial small subunit ribosomal RNA", at positions 524 to 776 of the family's 1533-position model. The record is from RNAcentral.